RNAcentral lists this long non-coding RNA (7524 nucleotides) under Mytilus galloprovincialis (Mediterranean mussel). The record is from RNAcentral. Lineage: Eukaryota; Metazoa; Mollusca; Bivalvia; Mytilida; Mytilidae.
GUAAAAAUGACAGAUGGGAGUGAAAUGUAAACUAACUUGUUUAACAUGUGAUAAAUUGAUAUAAGUAGAACAAAACGUGCAAAUCAUGUGUUUCACCUUCGUUACAUUGGUAUAUUUGUGACUACUAUAAUAAUAAUAUAGUAUACAGUAGUUAAGCUUUACAGACAUGUUUGUGGUAAGUUACUGUAGUCUAUUUUUAUUUUUUUUCCAAUAAUAAUAUACACCAAUAUUCAAUUUGAUUUAUCAGCUGUCAGUAACCACUUUUUAAUAAUCAUAAUAUUUUUAUUCAGGUGCCAGGUCAUAUAUGUUUUUUAGUAUGGUAUUAAACGACUCGGGGGGGGGGGGGGGGGGGGGGAAUGAGUUCUAAAACACAAAUUAUGCCAAUAAAGUUGCCAGAAGACAUUUUAUGGCUGUGUUUACACUUUGAUUUGUAUAAUCUUACUAUCAUCCUCAAAAUCUGUUCUGAGUGCAGACAAACAAGUGCAUGUUAUGGUUUUAUAAGGCCUGGAUGGACCAAACUUGAUCCAUAGACAUUUUACAAACAAUUUAGAUUUAAACAGAUCUGUACCCCAGAUUUUUGUAAUUCCUAAUCCCAGUGACUGUCAUACAUCUCAUAUAUCCUGAAUGCCACUUGCAGCAGUACCUUCUAGAAACAGUAUGGAAUUACCAGUAAUUAAGUUAACUAAUUGUCGUCCAUUUGGGAAAUUAAACUGACCAUUUAAUCAUCCACUAUCCAGCUAUCAUCAUCUAACAACUUCAGCUCUCCCUUGACAUGGUUUGCAAGUAUGGUCUUGAGGAAACAAUGUAAGUCCACUGGAAGGGGGAUAAUAAAUGGCUGACCCGUGUUAGUUUUAAGGGCAUACGAUACAGUUACGGAGGAGGUAAUGACAUUGCUAACGUAAAUUGUUAUUUUUGCGAAUUGGGAAAAGAUGCAGUUUUCAACUGAUUUUUAUCAUUCAAACUUAUUUAACUUGAAAACGAGUUCAUGGACCCCUCUUUUUUAAAAUGCCAUUUGAUUUGAUUAUGCAAGAAGAUUAUGUGUGCCAAUUUUCAUGAAAAGGUAAAUAGUGCAAUUUUUUUUUUAAAUUUGAUAAAUAUACAGCAAAAAUUAUGUUUUUACAUUCAUGAACAUUUGAUAAAUAUAUGAGUUAUUUCUAAAUAAAAAAUGUAUGAAUUUUUUAUAAAAUACAGAAAUUACAAAUUCUUUUAAAAAAAUCAAUUUGUGUUUAUCUUUUAAAACUAAAAAGUUAUGUCUUUCUUUUGAAAGGGAAAAUAAGGUCACAAAUCCAAACUUUGAGAAAAUAUACAAAAUUUCGACCUCAUUUUACUAAAAAAGUAGCACAUGAAGGUAUAUUUUUUAUUACAUACUAGAACACACCCGCGAAAUAGCGGGCAUUCAGAGCGUAGUUUAAAGUAUGUAAAGUGUUGUUGGAAGAAUUUUGUGAAAUAUUGAAUGACUGGAGAAUUUCAGCAAAAUUAUCAUAAAUCAUAGGUUAUUGGGGACAGGAAAAUUUUUUUUUAAUCCCUCCUCCUUUAUUUCCAAAAUUCCCAAUGUGUGGUUUUCUAUCAAUAUCAAUAUGAAUAUACAUUUAGUAUGUUAUGAACAUUUAAGUAAGGAGCCUGUACUUCAGUGGUUGUCGUUUGUUUAUGCGUUACAUAUUUGUUUUUCGUUCAUUGUUUGUACAUAAAUAAGGCCGCUAGUUUUCUCGUUUGAAUUGUUUUACAUUUUCAUUUCGGUGCCUUUUAAAGCUGAGUAUGCGGUAUGGUCUUUGCUCGUUGUUGAAGGCCGUACGAUAACCUAUAGUUGUUAAUUUCUGUGUCAUUUUGGUCUCUUGUGGAGAGUUGUCAACAUGGCAAUCAUACCACAUCUUCUUUUUUUUGUAAUCAAUGAAUUUUGUAAUUUAAGAUUUAAUGACUGGAGAAUUUCAGAAAAGGUAUCAAAAGUGCACAUGAAUAAUUUUAGCGCUUAUCUGUAUAUUAUGAACAUUCACUAUAUAAAUAAAGUGUAUUUACUUUCAAUUCUAAGUUUUCUAAUCGAUCCAUGGUGGUCAUUGAUAUAGUAUACAGACCCUCUCUAUUUAAUAAACUCUGUGACCACCAUGGAUAGUAAACUUGAAAAUGAUAGCAGAUAGAAUUCUGAAAUAUACACUUUAUUCGUAGUAUAUGUAUGUUCAAAGUAUACAGAAAAACGCAAACCGGAAAGUAUAAUCUGACUUAAAAUUUUGUCCAAUGACGGGACAAUAUCCGGAUGCCCUUUUUCUCGAUUUUCUCCCAAAAUAACUCAAUCUGAAUAAUCAUAUGAAUGGAUGACAAAUGCGACUAUGCACUGUACCUAUAGGACACAGAGGCGUGUUGAUUAAUUUAUUGUGGAAAGAAGAGAAGCGACACCCAAAAUGAGGUCUUCUCGUUUAAUAGUAUAGAUUUGAAUUAAUCAGGUAAAAAAUAGUCUAUAUGGAAAUUUUUAUCAAACUGUAAAUACAGGAUCAAAACUGUAUCGUAUGCCCUUACACGUAAAAGACACCCUUGUAGAGUUCGAAAAAGAGCAGGCUUAUUCUGCUACAAGACAGCACUCGCACCUGCAAAGUGGAAAGGGAUUGAUAUAAGUUGCAAUAACUUAUUUCCCAAUCAACUAUAAAUAAAUAUCAUUAUUUAUAUGUAUAAAACUAAACUAUCAUCAUCUCUGUAACAAUACCCCUAGGAACCUCCAAUAAGAACGUAUACAGACAUGUGUGAAUAAGCAGCCAACCACAUUUUAUAACUUUAUUAACCUACUUUCAUUUUAUUCAACUUAUCUAUUUCAUCUAUUUAUUUUUCACUUUCAUUUUCACUUUCACUUUCUAUUAUUUAACAUGUUUAAAGAUAAUGUUGUCAUACAUAACAACCAUUAUUAUAAAAUUACUUAAUCCCUGUCAUUGACCGCAAAAUGUGUACUUCACUGUUUUAUUUCAUGGAUAAACUUGUCCUGAAAACACCAUGCUCGCUGUGGAAAUGUCAAAACCAAUAAAACUUUUGCAAUACGAUAAAAACAUUUGAGUGCUGUUGUCUUAGGGAGCUACCAUUUGAUUUUUAUGGGGGGGGGGGGGGGGGGGCUAGGAUGAAAUUUGAAAAAAAUAGGCAGGACAGGAGUUUUGAGUAAAAAAAAAGGCAGGAUGAGACACUUCAAAAAAAAAAAGUCAGGACGACAAUUCAGGUAAAAAAAAGUCUGGAUAAACUAAAAAAAAAAAGGCAGGACCGAACAGAGUGAAAAAUAAAAAGGCAGGACAGAGAUUACAACUAAAAAAAAAUGCAGGACAAAAUUUUUCAUCCUAGCCCCCCCAUAAAAAUCAAAUGGUAGCUCCCUUAUACAUGUUAUAACAGAUUUGUAUCAUGUUGUAUUGGUAAUUUUUUGGACAAAAUCUUAUGUAAAAUUGAUACUUUUUUCUCAACAUGGUUUAAUGUUUAUCUAAAAUUUUUGUUUACAAUGAACAUGAUGAAUGCGCACAUAAUGUAUGAAGUUUUACUAUUUUUGUGUGAAUCAUACAUGUACAUGUAGCAUUAUUAUUUCUUACACCAAUCAGGCUUUUUCCAAAGGAGGGAUAUACUGCAUGUUUCGUGACCCCUGCCUGUAUCUGUCAAUUUUUCAUAUAAAUACAAAAGGGAGCUUUCUCAAAUCGUUAAAUCAUAAGCCAUCAACUAACAUCAUCCUCAGUGGCGGAUCCAGCCAUUUUAAAAAGGGGGGGUUCCCAACACAGAGUAAAGGGGGUUCCAACUAUAUGCUCCCAUUCAAAUGCAUUGAUCGGCCAAAAAAAAGGGGGGUUCCAACCCGCGGAACCCCCCCCCCCCGGAUCCGCCACUGAUCCUUUUAUUAAAAUUACUAUUGACACCUUUAUUUUAAAUUAUUCCUGGCAUUGUUGCCAAUUAGCUUCAUAAAAACAUUAAUCUGUAGAUUAUUACUAUUAGGUCAAAAGGAUAACCAUUUUAUGAGGACAUGCUUUACUGUAUGAGAAGUGCAUUUUCAAUUUCAUCUAUUAUGAAUCAACUUCCCUUUUACCAAAUACUUAGUCAUAAUUUUAACUUAAUUAUAAUUGAGUACUUGGUAAACAGGAAGUUAAUUGAUAAAAGAUGAAUAUAUGAAAAUGCAUUUCUUUUUGACAACUAACUAUAGAAAACAUAUUUUUGGAUAAAAAUUCUAACAAUAAAAAAAAAUGUCUGUUAUAAUUCUACAUAUCUGUAUUUUUUAAUCUACAUUUAAUUGUAAAAUAAUAACUUACACUUACUUGUUAAAAGAUACUGUAAAAUUGCAAUAUAAAUCAUGAAAUCAUUAUUCUGAAAUUAUUGGAACACAGGAUUCAUCUUUAAUAAGCAAUGAUAAGUUUAAAGGAUUUGUCUCCUCUAGUUGAACAUAAAAAGACUGAAGUUUUCAGAAGUACCCAUUUUAAAAUAACUAUUUCUAUCAUAGUUAUAAAUUUAUCCUGUACAUUUUCUGUAGGUACAAUGUAACAUUUGAGCCAUCUUCAUGAUCUAACCACACCAUUUCAUUAAAUAUGUUAAAAAAUACUAUCAACACCUUUAUUAAUUAGUCCAUUGUUGUCAAUAGCUGUAAUAACAGUCUGCCUAUUAUUGAUUUUCUAUCAAAAUUGUAAUGUUACAAGUUCUAGGUGAACUCCUAAUGUUGGCGAUCAGGGAAAUAUUCAGAGAAACCUGAAAAAGUAAACAAGAUGGAAGAACCAUUAUAUGAGACUUUCACCGAAUUCUUUCACAGAAAAUGGGAUAUCCCAGGAAAUUCUGUUCUCAUAAUCUCCAUAUGACCCUAGAAAUCCUGAAAAGUCUUGAAAUUUGUUUCAGAAAGUCCUGGGAUAACCCGACAAAAUAUCUCAGGAAGUCCAAGGAAGGUCUUGGGAUAACUCAGGAUAUCCCAAUAGAUUUUUGCAAGGGAAUUACAUGUAAUUUAUUCUACUUAUGAUUAUGACUACCUUGAAGCCUGGAUCAUAAGUCAGUAAUUCAGAUUAUGCUUAAUUUGAAACAUCAUGACAGUUACUGGUAUGUAAUUUAUUUGUAUAUUGAAGAUGAAACCUCUAUCCUGACAAUGUGAGGUUGCAUACAACAUGUACAAUGUUGAUGAGUUAAACAUUGCCAUUUUAAAACAGUAGGAAAUCUAAGUUUUAUGACUUCAAUAAAGUAUGAGAAGAGUGGCAGCACAUAUAAACUACCAAUAAGGUAAACGUUACGUGAAACUAUAAAGAAAUUGUGUUGAAAAUAGAAUGUGUCCCCAGUACACGGAUGCCCCACUCCCACUAUUAUUUUCUAUGUUCAGUGGACCGUGAAAUUUGGGUAAAAACUCUUAAUUUUGCAUUAAAAUUAGAAAGAUCAUAUUAUAGGGAACAUGUGUACUGAGUUUCAAGAUGAUUGCACUUCAACUUCAUCAAAAACUUCCUUGACCAAAAACUUUAGUGAGAAGCGGGAUGAAUGGAUGGAUGGAUGGACGAAUGGUCAGAUCAGAAAACUAUCGUAGGUGGGGCAUAAAUAGAGGGAUCCAUUCUUGUGUUUGUUGUUUAAUCUUAAAAGUUGAAGAUAUCAAAAUUGACUUUACAACAAAUGUUUGCAUAUAUUUUAUAUGCAGACUGUCAUUUAUCUGGAACUUGAAAUAGUACAGGUAAAUAUGUCAGUGUUACAUGUACAUUGUAUUGAAAUUGUUUUUAUCAAAGCAAACAAUGGAGAUAUCAUGUAUAUCAUGUAUAUAUUAUAAUGUAAUUGAUGAAUCCGUUAUUUCAGGUUGUUGUUUAGGGGAUUUGUGUCAGGUUAACAAGGUACAAAAAAAUGUACAUGUAAAAUCUUUAGGUAUCAUGCGUUUAUGAAUCACUCAACCUUCAGGAUCUUUGAUCAUUUGAUUUUGUAUAUGAUUAUGAUCAUGAUAAAAGUAUGAAUGUUUGCAUUUAUAUUUUAAGUUGGAAAUCCUGACACAAUAAAACAAUCUCCUUUCCAAAUGCAAUUUAAAGUCUUGGUGGGAAUGGCUUUUUAUCUGCAUGUUUAAAAAAAAAGAGGAUGAAAUCAAAACAAAACAAUGUUGGAAUGAUCUUCAGAACUUAAACAGUUGUUUCUUAUGUCCUAAUGAAAAGUCCAAUAUGGUUUAAGGUAAGGUUUGCGGUCACUGGGAGAUAACUCGUAUUGAAAUUGGGGAAUAAUGCCAAUUCAUUUGAGUAUUUGAAAUCAGCUAUAUUAACUGUGUUGAUGCAAACUUAAUUUGCUAGCAUUCUGCUGAUCAUCUGCAAAAUGUACAUGUUAAGAACUAAAACAGGAAAAAAUCAAUCUAAAAAGUCCUAUCUUAGUUGAAUCAAAUCUUUAUAGGUGCUUUAAUUUUGUUCUUAUAGAAUUAUAUUCUUAACAAGAUUUGUUACUUUGGUGGACGUCAACUUAAAAUUGAAAAAAUUGUCUUCUGUGGAGGUCAAAAUUUCCAUUUGAUCCCAAUGAGAUAUAAUUGGAUUUUGAAAUACAUGUAUUAAAAUCCAAUGAUACAAUAAUGUUCAUGAAUAAUUUCAAGGUGAUGUAAGAUGUUCAUAUCGAUCAUGUAAUUGUAAAUUGUAAUUUUCUGUUUUGCCUAUAUAUAUCUAUUUCUUUUUUCUUCUUCUUGAUAAUGAAUUGUUAGCUUAAUUGAUGUUACUCCUUUUAGUUGCUUUAACUUUAUCAUGUUAAUAGAGUACCAGAAUGCCCUAACAUAGACAUGAUAGAUAAGGCAUGUUAAGGAAACCUGUCAAACUAAUUGUAUUUCGGAGUCAAAAGACAGUUAUAUGAAAAAGUUUAUUGUCAAGAUAACUGUAUUUAAGAUGAGGGUAUAGAUUUUUAAUCACUUCCAUCACUGCAUUAAAUAAUGUAUACAAAUUGUACUUUGACAUUAGGGUUUUAAACAGGAUACAACUUUUAUAUACAUUUUGAUAAUGAAGUUUAUGAAAGAGAAAGUUAUUUCAUUUCUUACCUUAUAUGAUAAGUAGGUUCAUCAACUUGUAUGUUUUUAUAUAUUUACAGGUGAAAAUAUUCUGUUAGAAUGUAGUGAUUGUAUAAACAGCAAAUACAUGAAAUAUGAAAGGCCAGACAGUAAUUAUCAGCAUAUAAGUACUAUAGGACAAUUUUAUAUACAUGUACACUGAAGAUCUUCAAGAACAGCUAGAAUUCCAGUAAUCUGCAAUACUCAUCUUUGGCUCAAAGUCUCAAACAUUUCAUCUCACAAUGUCUUCAAUGGUCAAUAAACUUCCAAUGUCUCAGAGACUUGGUUUCAGUAUUGGACAUGUGUUAAACGAUCUGACAGCUUCCAUGUGGUUUAGUUAUUUGAUAAUAUACUUUCACCAAGUGAAAAGAUUCAAUAAUAUUUUAGCUGGAUUAUUAAUGUUAAUAGGACAAGUUAGUGAUGCUAUGUUCACUCCGUUCAUUGGUUUUGAAUCAGACAGUACAGUGGGGAUAUGCAAUUUAGGGAAAAGAAAAUCCUGGCAUUUUGUUGGUAAGUUUUAUCAUUGAUUGAGCUUGUAACCUUGUCAAAAUCAGAGUAAGACUAGU